AACGCUGUAUUUUACUAUGUUUUUCUGGCAAUCGGUAUUAGGCAUUCACCUUGCCAAGGUGGGGGCCGCGGGUUCGAAUCCCGUCUCGCG
This 90-nucleotide transfer RNA is filed under the name Candidatus Caccovicinus merdipullorum. RNAcentral's name for it is "tRNA-Gly". Lineage: Bacteria; Bacillati; Bacillota; Clostridia; Eubacteriales. The record is from RNAcentral.